RNAcentral lists this ribosomal RNA (425 nucleotides) under uncultured bacterium. Its description in RNAcentral is "partial 16S ribosomal RNA". It matches the Rfam family "Bacterial small subunit ribosomal RNA", at positions 354 to 796 of the family's 1533-position model. The record is from RNAcentral.
GUGGGGAAUAUUGGGCAAUGGGCGAAAGCCUGACCCAGCAACGCCACGUGAAGGAAGAAGGUUUUCGGAUCGUAAACUUCUAUCCUAGGUGAAGAUAAUGACGGUAGCCUAGAAGCAAGCCCCGGCUAACUACGUGCCAGCAGCCGCGGUAAUACGUAGGGGGCAAGCGUUGUCCGGAAUGAUUGGGCGUAAAGGGCGCGUAGGCGGCUAUGUAAGUACGAUGUGAAAGUCCUGCUUUUAAGGUGGGAAUUGCAUUGGAAACUUUGUGGCUGGAGUGCAGGGUAGGUAAGUGGAAUUCCCGGUGUAGCGGUGAAAUGCGUAGAGAUCGGGAGGAACACCAGUGGCGAAGGCGACUUACUGGACUGUAACUGACGCUGAGGCGCGAAAGUGUGGGGAGCAAACAGGAUUAGAUACCCUUGUAGUCC